AAGUCGUAACAAGGUAACCGUAGGUGAACCUGCGGUUGGAUCAUUAACAAAACCAAAUAGAAGAUCUCAUUUAUUUGAGUUCUAUCUACCGCAUAAUGUGAACUAUACAUGUCUCUGGUGUGUAAAUUAAUCAGUUUUCAUUUUGGAUACUGUUUACACACCAGUUUUUAAAUAUUAAACUUUUCCAAUCUUAUGAAGUCUAAAAAUGUUUAAAACAAAAAAUCAAUUACAACUUUUGACAACGGAUCUCUAGGCUCUC
This 259-nucleotide unclassified non-coding RNA is filed under the name fungal sp. RNAcentral's name for it is "partial internal transcribed spacer region". The stretch from base 1 to 46 matches the Rfam family "Eukaryotic small subunit ribosomal RNA", at positions 1786 to 1831 of the family's 1831-position model. Lineage: Eukaryota; Fungi. The record is from RNAcentral.